GACGAACGCUGGCGGCGUGCUUAACACAUGCAAGUCGAACGCUGAAGCACCAGCUUGCUGGUGUGGAUGAGUGGCGAACGGGUGAGUAAUACGUGAGUAACCUGCCCUUGACUCUGGGAUAAGCCCGGGAAACUGGGUCUAAUACUGGAUGCUACAUGUCACCGCAUGGUGGUGUGUGGAAAGGGUUUACUGGUCUUGGAUGGGCUCACGGCCUAUCAGCUUGUUGGUGAGGUAAUGGCUCACCAAGGCGACGACGGGUAGCCGGCCUGAGAGGGUGACCGGCCACACUGGGACUGAGACACGGCCCAGACUCCGACGGGAGGCAGCAGUGGGGAAUAUUGCACAAUGGGCGAAAGCCUGAUGCAGCGACGCCGCGUGAGGGAGGACGGCCUUCGGGUUGUAAACCUCUUUCAGCAGGGAAGAAGCCACAAGUGACGGUACCUGCAGAAGAAGCGCCGGCUAACUACGUG
Molecule: ribosomal RNA, 470 nt
Filed under: uncultured bacterium
Lineage: Bacteria
Description: partial 16S ribosomal RNA
Rfam family: Bacterial small subunit ribosomal RNA
Source: RNAcentral